GUAGUGAAGAGAGAAUACGGGACAACUGCAGGACCACAGCUCAGCCAAGAGCUCCCUUGCAGCUGAGUUGGCCAUAUGACUGACAGCAAGCCCUGGAAUGCAGCCAGAAGUGAUAGAAGCCUCUUUCACACCAUGCUCCUAAAAUAUUCCAAGAAAUUUUCCAAACCUACUCUUUUUAGUCUGUGCAUCUGGAAGUGAAAGUUUUAGAAAGGGUAAAGUCACUUAAUGGAAAGGGCCCAGAUCUAGCCCCUCGGAGCCAAGCUGUCCAACUAGAAAUUCUGCAUUAGUAUUUGCGACCCCAGUAAAAAAAAAAAAGUCCCACAAAGAUGUAGGAUCUCACUUUGCCUGCGUUAAUUCCCUGUCCUUUGCCCAGUUUCUCCUCUCUUGGAAGGCAGAGGCAGCUUCUGAUUUUGAUCACUUCAUGUCCAGAUGUACCUUCCACGACCCAGGACUGUCUUUCUCAACAACUUGGAAGCCAUCCCUUUGUAAUGUAAUGAUCAAGAAAAAUAGGGCCCAUGCCUACCUGUCUCCAUGGGAAGCAGAUCUUUGGAGAGAAAAUGCCAAGAGUGGAUGGAGAGGCAAUGGUGAAGCUGAGGCUGAAGUCGGAGGAAGCUGUGAACCCUGCAUGGGGUACCUGAACACCAGGGCAAGUUUCUGGCCCAGAAUGGCUUCUGGGAAAGGGGCCCUCAACAGAUUGGAAGAUGCCCAGGCAGUUGGGGAUGGCAAUCUGCUUUCUCAAUCUACUGAUUCAAAUGCUAAUCUCAUCCAGAAACAUCCUCACAGACAUACCCAGAAAUGAUCUUUAAUCUGGGCCAGUGAAAUUGACAUAUGAAAUUUAACCAUUACAAUAUCUCACCAGUGUCCUCAUUAAUUGAUGAGUUAAAUAAAAUCUUUGACAUGUGUGCAUUUUA
RNAcentral lists this long non-coding RNA (911 nucleotides) under Homo sapiens (human). Its description in RNAcentral is "long intergenic non-protein coding RNA 499". Lineage: Eukaryota; Metazoa; Chordata; Mammalia; Primates; Hominidae. The record is from RNAcentral.